AGCGAACGCUGGCGGCAGGCCUAACACAUGCAAGUCGAACGAACUCUUCGGAGUUAGUGGCGGACGGGUGAGUAACACGUGGGAACGUUCCUUUAGGUUCGGAAUAACUCGGGGAAACUUGUGCUAAUACCGAAUGUGCCCUUCGGGGGAAAGAUUUAUCGCCUUUAGAGCGGCCCGCGUCUGAUUAGCUAGUUGGUGAGGUAAAGGCUCACCAAGGCGACGAUCAGUAGCUGGUCUGAGAGGAUGAUCAGCCACAUUGGGACUGAGACACGGCCCAAACUCCUACGGGAGGCAGCAGUGGGGAAUCUUGCGCAAUGGGCGAAAGCCUGACGCAGCCAUGCCGCGUGAAUGAUGAAGGUCUUAGGAUUGUAAAAUUCUUUCACCGGGGACGAUAAUGACGGUACCCGGAGAAGAAGCCCCGGCUAACUUCGUG
RNAcentral lists this ribosomal RNA (433 nucleotides) under uncultured bacterium. RNAcentral describes it as "partial 16S ribosomal RNA". It matches the Rfam family "Bacterial small subunit ribosomal RNA", at positions 29 to 507 of the family's 1533-position model. The record is from RNAcentral.